Molecule: ribosomal RNA, 424 nt
Filed under: uncultured bacterium
Lineage: Bacteria
Description: bacterial SSU rRNA
Rfam family: Bacterial small subunit ribosomal RNA
Source: RNAcentral
UGGGGAAUUUUGCGCAAUGGGGGAAACCCUGACGCAGCGAUGCCGCGUGGAGGACGAAGGUCUUCGGAUUGUAAACUCCUUUUGUAGGGGAAAAACAGACGGGUGAAUAGCCCGUCUUGAUGGUACCCUGCGAAUAAGCCACGGCUAACUUCGUGCCAGCAGCCGCGGUAAGACGAAGGUGGCGAGCGUUACUCGGAAUUACUAGGCGUAAAGCGUGGGCAGGUGGUCCGAUAAGUCUGUUGUGAAAGCUCCCGGCUUAACUGGGAGAGGCCAAUGGAUACUGUUGGACUUGAAUGUGGGAGAGGUGACUGGAAUUCCCGGUGUAGCGGUGAAAUGCGUAGAGAUCGGGAGGAACACCAAUGGCGAAAGCAGGUCACUGGACCACUAUUGACACUCAUCCACGAAAGCUAGGGGAUCAAACAGG